Molecule: long non-coding RNA, 1031 nt
Filed under: Erythranthe guttata (spotted monkey flower)
Lineage: Eukaryota; Viridiplantae; Streptophyta; Magnoliopsida; Lamiales; Phrymaceae
Description: long non-coding RNA (EGUT_LNC003591)
Source: RNAcentral
UGCAUGUAUGUGUGUGUUUUUAGCAAUUGUUAAUUAAGGAGUAAAAAAGUGAACCACUCGAUCCUUAACAAGUUAAUUUCAGUCGCAUAUGAAAGUUAUGCGACUGAAUUUUACAAUCAGCUAUCUAAAAAUAAAUUCACGUGCAAGGCUUCAAAAUAUAACACGACAGCAAACGAAGGAGGCCAUCGAAGAAAUAGAAUAAUUCCCUCAAAAGAACAACUAAAGUAGUUUUAAAUUAGAUUGUCAUUAUUCAACAUUAUGUAUAUACAUAUAUUAAAGUUCCAAUUUCCAAAAGGCACUUUAAUUAGGUACUUUAUAUGUGGUUCCCCAAGUUUUGUUGUAGCUGACGUCAUCUUUGCUUUGGCCUUCUUUCCACCUUUUUUCAACAGUCUAUUACCUAAUUUUGUUCCAUGUUUUCUUGCGUAGAGCUGCAAAAUGUAUUAGAUACGUAAUUAAUUAAUUUAAUUAAUGAGGUGAUGAAAUAAAACACGACCAACAAAUCUGAGUCAAACCCAAAUUAUGAUGGGCCAACUUCAAAUUCAUUUUCUACACUACCAUUAGGCCCAUCUUUUGACUAAUAUAUUUACUGACCCAAAGCCCACUAAUGUACAAGCCCAUUUUCAAAUUUGGUAGAGAGAGAUCUAGAGAGAGAGAGAGAGAGAGAUCUAGAGAGAGAGAGAGAGAGAGAGAGAGAGAGAUUCCUCAAAUCUUGGAUACAUUUAAUAAUCUUUCAAAUUAGUUAAUGUCCAUUGAAUAAAUGUCAUGAUUCCUCAAAAUUGGUCCAGGCCCAGAACUUGUUGUACGGUCCGUUAAGGCCAUCCCUAUUACCUGUCAUCUAAGAUGCACCCAAAUUUCCGUGCACGAGUGUUUUCGCGUUUCGGAAACCAAAACUCCAUUACAUCCGCCCGCAACAACAUUUUGUGGUUGUUUUUGUAAAUAUCUAGAAUUUUUGGGGAUAUAUAUAAUUAAGGCUUUCCCGUGUCCGUUUCGCCGUGUCGACAUUCUUGUAUCCGGGCUAGUGGCUACAUAGC